This 72-nucleotide transfer RNA is filed under the name Enquatrovirus N4. Its description in RNAcentral is "Enterobacteria phage N4 tRNA". It matches the Rfam family "tRNA". From Rfam's summary of the family: Transfer RNA (tRNA) molecules are approximately 80 nucleotides in length. Their secondary structure includes four short double-helical elements and three loops (D, anti-codon, and T loops). Lineage: Duplodnaviria; Heunggongvirae; Uroviricota; Caudoviricetes; Schitoviridae. The record is from Rfam by way of RNAcentral. RNAcentral also lists the same sequence under 2 other names.
GAUGGUGUAGCUCAGUGGUAGAGCAGUUGGCUGUUAACCAACUGGUCGAUGGUUCGAAUCCAUCCACCAUCG